RNAcentral lists this ribosomal RNA (446 nucleotides) under uncultured bacterium. RNAcentral describes it as "bacterial SSU rRNA". It matches the Rfam family "Bacterial small subunit ribosomal RNA", at positions 329 to 792 of the family's 1533-position model. The record is from RNAcentral.
UACCAGACUCCUACGGGAGGCAGCAGUGGGGGAUAUUGCACAAUGGGGGGAACCCUGAUGCAGCGACGCCGCGUGGGUGAAGGAGCGUUUCGGCGCGUAAAGCCCUAUCGGCAGGGAAGAAGAUGACGGUACCUGACCAAGAAGCCCCGGCUAACUACGUGCCAGCAGCCGCGGUAAUACGUAGGGGGCAAGCGUUAUCCGGAUUUACUGGGUGUAAAGGGAGCGUAGACGGUUAUGUAAGUCUGGAGUGAAAGCCCGGGGCCCAACCCCGGGACUGCUUUGGAAACUGUGUAACUGGAGUACAGGAGGGGCAGGCGGAAUUCCUGGUGUAGCGGUGAAAUGCGUAGAUAUCAGGAGGAACACCGGCGGCGAAGGCGGCCUGCUGGACUGAAACUGACGUUGAGGCUCGAAAGCGUGGGGAGCAAACAGGAUUAGAUACCCCCGUA